CAUCUACCCACACAAAGAUGGCGGCGCCCUGAAUAUAGAUCGGGGCAGAAAAUAAAGAUUAAAAAAUAGGUAAUAUGGGGGCUUAGGGGCAUUUUGGGGUGACUAGGGGGUCAAUUAGAGAUAGUGGAGGCGGGUUAAAAAAACCCCAAAUAAAAACGGGAUUCGGCCAUGACAGUGCCGCUUUAAGGCACCUUAUUUAGCAUUAAA
Molecule: non-coding RNA, 207 nt
Organism: Pelobates cultripes (western spadefoot toad)
Lineage: Eukaryota; Metazoa; Chordata; Amphibia; Anura; Pelobatidae
Source: the annotation of a GenBank genome assembly